RNAcentral lists this ribosomal RNA (433 nucleotides) under uncultured bacterium. RNAcentral's name for it is "partial 16S ribosomal RNA". It matches the Rfam family "Bacterial small subunit ribosomal RNA", at positions 29 to 507 of the family's 1533-position model. The record is from RNAcentral.
AGCGAACGCUGGCGGCAGGCCUAACACAUGCCAGUCGAACGGAUCCUUCGGGAUUAGUGGCGGACGGGUGAGUAACACGUGGGAACGUGCCCUUUGGUUCGGAACAACUCAGGGAAACUUGAGCUAAUACCGGAUGUGCCCUUCGGGGGAAAGAUUUAUCGCCAUUGGAGCGGCCCGCGUCUGAUUAGCUAGUUGGUGAGGUAACGGCCCACCAAGGCGACGAUCAGUAGCUGGUCUGAGAGGAUGGUCAGCCACACUGGGACUGAGACACGGCCCAGACUCCUACGGGAGGCAGCAGUGGGGAAUCUUGCGCAAUGGGCGAAAGCCUGACGCAGCCAUGCCGCGUGAAUGAUGAAGGUCUUAGGAUUGUAAAAUUCUUUCAGCGGGGACGAUAAUGACGGUACCCGCAGAAGAAGCUCCGGCUAACUUCGUG